GCCUGGGUGGCUCAGUCGGUUAAGAGUCUGACUUCGGCUCAGGUCACGAUCUCGCGGUCGGUGGGUUCGAGCCCCACAUCGGGCU
Molecule: non-coding RNA, 85 nt
Organism: Felis catus (domestic cat)
Lineage: Eukaryota; Metazoa; Chordata; Mammalia; Carnivora; Felidae
Source: Rfam